Molecule: ribosomal RNA, 262 nt
Filed under: uncultured bacterium
Lineage: Bacteria
Description: partial 16S ribosomal RNA
Rfam family: Bacterial small subunit ribosomal RNA
Source: RNAcentral
GUCACGCCUAACGAUGUCAACUGGUUGUUGGGUCUUCACUGACUCAGUAACGAAGCUAACGCGUGAAGUUGACCGCCUGGGGAGUACGGCCGCAAGGUUGAAACUCAAAGGAAAUUGACGGGGACCCGCACAAGCGGUGGAUGAUGUGGUUUAAUUCGAUGCAACGCGAAAACCUUAACCCACCUUUGACAUGUACGGAACUCGCCAGAGAUGGCUUGGUGCUCGAAAGAGAGCCGUAACACAGGUGCUGCAUGGCUGUCGU